AGACGUAGGGCGCGAGCGUUAUGCGGAUUUAUUGGGCGUAAAGGGCUCGUAGGCGGUUAUGUAAGUCGGGUGUGAAAACUUGUGGCUUAACCCUGAGAGGCCAUUCGAUACUGCAUUGACUGGAGUUCGGUAGAGGAGUGUGGAAUUCCUAGUGUAGCGGUGAAAUGCGCAGAUAUUAGGAGGAACACCUAUUGCGAAGGCAGCACUCUGGGCCGAUACUGACGCUGAGGAGCGAAAGCGUGGGUAGCAAACAGGAUUAGAUACCCCAGUAGUCC
RNAcentral lists this ribosomal RNA (275 nucleotides) under uncultured bacterium. Its description in RNAcentral is "partial 16S ribosomal RNA". It matches the Rfam family "Bacterial small subunit ribosomal RNA", at positions 523 to 796 of the family's 1533-position model. The record is from RNAcentral.